RNAcentral lists this ribosomal RNA (253 nucleotides) under uncultured bacterium. RNAcentral's name for it is "partial 16S ribosomal RNA". It matches the Rfam family "Bacterial small subunit ribosomal RNA", at positions 524 to 776 of the family's 1533-position model. The record is from RNAcentral.
UACAGAGGGUGCUAGCGUUAAUCGGAUUUACUGGGCGUAAAGCGUGUGUAGGCGGUUUGUUAAGUCGGGUGUGAAAUCCCUGGGCUCAACCUGGGAAUUGCAUUCGAUACUGGCAAGCUAGAGUACGGUAGAGGGCGGCGGAAUUCCGGGUGUAGCGGUGAAAUGCAUAGAUAUGCCAUAGAACACCAAUUGCGAAGGCAGCUGGCUAGACCUGGAUUGACGCUGAGGCACGAAAGCGUGGGGAGCGAACAGG